Molecule: ribosomal RNA, 2906 nt
Filed under: Escherichia coli NCCP15657
Lineage: Bacteria; Pseudomonadati; Pseudomonadota; Gammaproteobacteria; Enterobacterales; Enterobacteriaceae
Description: bacterial LSU rRNA
Rfam family: Bacterial large subunit ribosomal RNA
Source: RNAcentral
UUAAGCGACUAAGCGUACACGGUGGAUGCCCUGGCAGUCAGAGGCGAUGAAGGACGUGCUAAUCUGCGAUAAGCGUCGGUAAGGUGAUAUGAACCGUUAUAACCGGCGAUUUCCGAAUGGGGAAACCCAGUGUGAUUCGUCACACUAUCAUUAACUGAAUCCAUAGGUUAAUGAGGCGAACCGGGGGAACUGAAACAUCUAAGUACCCCGAGGAAAAGAAAUCAACCGAGAUUCCCCCAGUAGCGGCGAGCGAACGGGGAGCAGCCCAGAGCCUGAAUCAGUGUGUGUGUUAGUGGAAGCGUCUGGAAAGGCGUGCGAUACAGGGUGACAGCCCCGUACACAAAAAUGCACAUAUUGUGAGCUCGAUGAGUAGGGCGGGACACGUGGUAUCCUGUCUGAAUAUGGGGGGACCAUCCUCCAAGGCUAAAUACUCCUGACUGACCGAUAGUGAACCAGUACCGUGAGGGAAAGGCGAAAAGAACCCCGGCGAGGGGAGUGAAAAAGAACCUGAAACCGUGUACGUACAAGCAGUGGGAGCACAGAGCAAUCUGUGUGACUGCGUACCUUUUGUAUAAUGGGUCAGCGACUUAUAUUCUGUAGCAAGGUUAACCGAAUAGGGGAGCCGAAGGGAAACCGAGUCUUAACUGGGCGUUAAGUUGCAGGGUAUAGACCCGAAACCCGGUGAUCUAGCCAUGGGCAGGUUGAAGGUUGGGUAACACUAACUGGAGGACCGAACCGACUAAUGUUGAAAAAUUAGCGGAUGACUUGUGGCUGGGGGUGAAAGGCCAAUCAAACCGGGAGAUAGCUGGUUCUCCCCGAAAGCUAUUUAGGUAGCGCCUCGUGAAUUCAUCUCCGGGGGUAGAGCACUGUUUCGGCAAGGGGGUCAUCCCGACUUACCAACCCGAUGCAAACUGCGAAUACCGGAGAAUGUUAUCACGGGAGACACACGGCGGGUGCUAACGUCCGUCGUGAAGAGGGAAACAACCCAGACCGCCAGCUAAGGUCCCAAAGUCAUGGUUAAGUGGGAAACGAUGUGGGAAGGCCCAGACAGCCAGGAUGUUGGCUUAGAAGCAGCCAUCAUUUAAAGAAAGCGUAAUAGCUCACUGGUCGAGUCGGCCUGCGCGGAAGAUGUAACGGGGCUAAACCAUGCACCGAAGCUGCGGCAGCGACGCUGAUGCGUUGUUGGGUAGGGGAGCGUUCUGUAAGCCUGCGAAGGUGUGCUGUGAGGCAUGCUGGAGGUAUCAGAAGUGCGAAUGCUGACAUAAGUAACGAUAAAGCGGGUGAAAAGCCCGCCUCGCCGGAAGACCAAGGGUUCCUGUCCAACGUUAAUCGGGGCAGGGUGAGUCGACCCCUAAGGCGAGGCCGAAAGGCGUAGUCGAUGGGAAACAGGUUAAUAUUCCUGUACUUGGUGUUACUGCGAAGGGGGGACGGAGAAGGCUAUGUUGGCCGGGCGACGGUUGUCCCGGUUUAAGCGUGUAGGCUGGUUUUCCAGGCAAAUCCGGAAAAUCAAGGCUGAGGCGUGAUGACGAGGCACUACGGUGCUGAAGCAACAAAUGCCCUGCUUCCAGGAAAAGCCUCUAAGCAUCAGGUAACAUCAAAUCGUACCCCAAACCGACACAGGUGGUCAGGUAGAGAAUACCAAGGCGCUUGAGAGAACUCGGGUGAAGGAACUAGGCAAAAUGGUGCCGUAACUUCGGGAGAAGGCACGCUGAUAUGUAGGUGAAGUCCCUCGCGGAUGGAGCUGAAAUCAGUCGAAGAUACCAGCUGGCUGCAACUGUUUAUUAAAAACACAGCACUGUGCAAACACGAAAGUGGACGUAUACGGUGUGACGCCUGCCCGGUGCCGGAAGGUUAAUUGAUGGGGUCAGCGCAAGCGAAGCUCUUGAUCGAAGCCCCGGUAAACGGCGGCCGUAACUAUAACGGUCCUAAGGUAGCGAAAUUCCUUGUCGGGUAAGUUCCGACCUGCACGAAUGGCGUAAUGAUGGCCAGGCUGUCUCCACCCGAGACUCAGUGAAAUUGAACUCGCUGUGAAGAUGCAGUGUACCCGCGGCAAGACGGAAAGACCCCGUGAACCUUUACUAUAGCUUGACACUGAACAUUGAGCCUUGAUGUGUAGGAUAGGUGGGAGGCUUUGAAGUGUGGACGCCAGUCUGCAUGGAGCCGACCUUGAAAUACCACCCUUUAAUGUUUGAUGUUCUAACGUUGACCCGUAAUCCGGGUUGCGGACAGUGUCUGGUGGGUAGUUUGACUGGGGCGGGUCUCCUCCUAAAGAGUAACGGAGGAGCACGAAGGUUGGCUAAUCCUGGUCGGACAUCAGGAGGUUAGUGCAAUGGCAUAAGCCAGCUUGACUGCGAGCGUGACGGCGCGAGCAGGUGCGAAAGCAGGUCAUAGUGAUCCGGUGGUUCUGAAUGGAAGGGCCAUCGCUCAACGGAUAAAAGGUACUCCGGGGAUAACAGGCUGAUACCGCCCAAGAGUUCAUAUCGACGGCGGUGUUUGGCACCUCGAUGUCGGCUCAUCACAUCCUGGGGCUGAAGUAGGUCCCAAGGGUAUGGCUGUUCGCCAUUUAAAGUGGUACGCGAGCUGGGUUUAGAACGUCGUGAGACAGUUCGGUCCCUAUCUGCCGUGGGCGCUGGAGAAUUGAGGGGGGCUGCUCCUAGUACGAGAGGACCGGAGUGGACGCAUCACUGGUGUUCGGGUUGUCAUGCCAAUGGCACUGCCCGGUAGCUAAAUGCGGAAGAGAUAAGUGCUGAAAGCAUCUAAGCACGAAACUUGCCCCGAGAUGAGUUCUCCCUGACUCCUUGAGAGUCCUGAAGGAACGUUGAAGACGACGACGUUGAUAGGCCGGGUGUGUAAGCGCAGCGAUGCGUUGAGCUAACCGGUACUAAUGAACCGUGAGGCUUAACCUU